RNAcentral lists this ribosomal RNA (484 nucleotides) under uncultured bacterium. Its description in RNAcentral is "partial 16S ribosomal RNA". It matches the Rfam family "Bacterial small subunit ribosomal RNA", at positions 30 to 507 of the family's 1533-position model. The record is from RNAcentral.
AUUGAACGCUGGCGGCAGGCCUAACACAUGCAAGUCGAGCGGAUGAAGGGAGCUUGCUCCUGGAUUCAGCGGCGGACGGGUGAGUAAUGCCUAGGAAUCUGCCUGGUAGUGGGGGAUAACGUCCGGAAACGGGCGCUAAUACCGCAUACGUCCUGAGGGAGAAAGUGGGGCAUCUUCGGACCUCACGCUAUCAGAUGAGCCUAGGUCGGAUUAGCUAGUUGGUGGGGUAAAGGCCUAACAAGGCGACGAUCCGUAACUGGUCUGAGAGGAUGAGCAGUCACACUGGAAGUGAGACGAGGUCCAGACUCCUACGGGAGGCAGCAGUGGGGAAUAUUGGACAAUGGGCGGAAGCCUGAUCCAACCAUGCCGCGUGUGUGAAGAAGGUCUUCGGAUUGUAAAGCACUUUAAGUUGGGAGGAAGGGCAGUAAGUUAAUACCUUGCUGUUUUGACGUUACCAACAGAAUAAGCACCGGCUAACUUCGUG